UGUAUGUGACAACCCCCUCGGGAUCCACAUACUCAGGUAUUGUCUCUGCCAUGGGCGGCCAUUCGCUCUUUUAAUCCCCUCUUAUUGGCUCGCAGCCUCAAGGGAGAAUCGAACCCGUGACCUAUGGCUCCUUUACAUCCCUCCCAAGGAGAUCGCCUCUUACCAAUUGAGCUGCAGAUCAAUUGGUAAGAGGCGAUCUCCUUGGGAGGGAUGUAAAGGAGCCAUAGGUCACGGGUUCGAUUCUCCCUUGAGGCUGCGAGCCAAUAAGAGGGGAUUAAAAGAGCGAAUGGCCGCCCAUGGCAGAGACAAUACCUGAGUAUGUGGAUCCCGAGGGGGUUGUCACA
Long non-coding RNA from Solanum pennellii, 344 nucleotides. RefSeq lists it as uncharacterized. Lineage: Eukaryota; Viridiplantae; Streptophyta; Magnoliopsida; Solanales; Solanaceae. The record is from RefSeq and is a predicted model, not a curated record. The transcript is spliced from 2 exons.